Molecule: ribosomal RNA, 510 nt
Filed under: uncultured bacterium
Lineage: Bacteria
Description: partial 16S ribosomal RNA
Rfam family: Bacterial small subunit ribosomal RNA
Source: RNAcentral
GACGAACGCUGGCGGCGUGCUUAACACAUGCAAGUCGAACGAAGAGCGAUGGAAGCUUGCUUCUAUCAAUCUUAGUGGCGAACGGGUGAGUAACGCGUAAUCAACCUGCCCUUCAGAGGGGGACAACAGUUGGAAACGACUGCUAAUACCGCAUACGAUCUAAUCUCGGCAUCGAGGAAAGAUGAAAGGUGGCCUCUACAUGUAAGCUAUCACUGAAGGAGGGGAUUGCGUCUGAUUAGCUAGUUGGAGGGGUAACGGCCCACCAAGGCGAUGAUCAGUAGCCGGUCUGAGAGGGUGGACGGCCACAUUGGGACUGGGACACGGCCCAGGCUCCUACGGGAGGCAGCAGUGGGGAAUCUUCCGCAAUGGGCGGAAGUCUGACGGAGCAACGCCGCGUGAGUGAUGGCGGCCUUCGGGUUGUUAAGCUCUGUUAAUCGGGACGAAAGGCCUUCUUGCGAAUCGUGAGAAGGAUUGACGGUACCGGAAUAGAAAGCCACGGCUAACUACGUG